This 253-nucleotide ribosomal RNA is filed under the name uncultured bacterium. RNAcentral's name for it is "partial 16S ribosomal RNA". It matches the Rfam family "Bacterial small subunit ribosomal RNA", at positions 524 to 776 of the family's 1533-position model. The record is from RNAcentral.
UACGGAGGAUCCUAGCGUUAUCCGGAUUUACUGGGUUUAAAGGGUGCGUAGGCGGGCGCUUAAGUCCGCGGUGAAAGUCUGCGGCUCAACCGUAGGAUUGCCGUGGAUACUGGGCGCCUUGGAUUCGGUCGGGGCGGGCGGAAUGCGUGGUGUAGCGGUGAAAUGCAUAGAUAUCACGCAGAACGCCGAUAGCGAAGGCAGCUCGCCGGGCCGAUAUCGACGCUGAUGCACGAAAGCGUGGGGAUCAAACAGG